GACGAACGCUGGCGGCGUGCUUAACACAUGCAAGUCGAGCGGUAAGGCCCUUUCGGGGGUACACGAGCGGCGAACGGGUGAGUAACACGUGGGUGACCUGCCCUCAGCUCUGGGAUAAGCCUGGGAAACUGGGUCUAAUACUGGAUAUGACUCCACGGUGCAUGUCGUGGGGUGGAAAGCCUUGUGCGGCUGAGGAUGGGCCCGCGGCCUAUCAGCUUGUUGGUGGGGUGANGGCCUACCAAGGCGACGACGGGUAGCCGGCCUGAGAGGGCGACCGGCCAUACUGGGACUGAGACACGGCCCAGACUCCUACGGGAGGCAGCAGUGGGGGAAUCUUGCGCAAUGGGCGAAAGCCUGACGCAGCGACGCCGCGUGAGGGAUGACGGCC
RNAcentral lists this ribosomal RNA (388 nucleotides) under uncultured bacterium. RNAcentral describes it as "bacterial SSU rRNA". It matches the Rfam family "Bacterial small subunit ribosomal RNA", at positions 28 to 416 of the family's 1533-position model. The record is from RNAcentral.